This 253-nucleotide ribosomal RNA is filed under the name uncultured bacterium. Its description in RNAcentral is "partial 16S ribosomal RNA". It matches the Rfam family "Bacterial small subunit ribosomal RNA", at positions 524 to 776 of the family's 1533-position model. The record is from RNAcentral.
UACGAAGGGGGCUAGCGUUGCUCGGAAUCACUGGGCGUAAAGGGUGCGUAGGCGGGUCUUUAAGUCAGGGGUGAAAUCCUGGAGCUCAACUCCAGAACUGCCUUUGAUACUGGCGACCUUGAGUCCGGGAGAGGUGAGUGGAACUGCGAGUGUAGAGGUGAAAUUCGUAGAUAUUCGCAAGAACACCAGUGGCGAAGGCGGCUCACUGGCCCGAUACUGACGCUGAGGCACGAAAGCGUGGGGAGCAAACAGG